UCGACACACGGCGGUUGGACUCCGGGAGCAGUCGUUCACUCGUGUUUUCCGUGUUCCCGACGUAGUUUUAGCGACGAUCUGAUCGCCGUCGUCGUAGUAAACGUCGUCGGGAUAAACCGAGAGAUAACGUCGCAUGUUCGCGAGCUCGUUCGUGGCGCAGCCGAGCAAGGGUGCCUCGCGGAAGAACGCGUCGGCAGUACGCGGUGUGCAGUGUGCAGCAAGUGGCAAGUGUCGUUUACGCGUCGCGGCGACUCGGAGCUUCGGAGCUCGAAUUCGCCGCGAUUUCACGCUCUCGCGAGACCUCUCUCGAAAACGAGCAUCGCGAUCUAAUCGCCAAGCGAAGCGUCGCGACGCAUUCGGCGGACCGUGCGUUGGAUCGCCAGUCCCGCUGGUGCUGAGGCGUCGGUCGGCCAGACUUCGCGACUUUACGGUGAAAAUGGCGGGCUGCCUUUCAAACCGACGCGCGACCAGUCGGGAUUGAGAUCUGUCGGACGAAGUGUGCCGUGUGCAUUCGCCGUUUGUUGAACGUCGUCGUGAUGAUCGGCGUGUCUCGUAUGGCUCGAUUGCCCCGGUAGGUAAUUAUGCCCGCGAUAUUUCCGAUCGGACGGCGGUACAUAAACUCCGUCGUAGACUCGAACGAUCGGAUGUGCUCCGCGUUUCUUCGGGAGUCGGAAACACAGUGUGUUUUUGCGCGCGAAAAUCGCCCUGUGACUCAUAACAAAAUAACAUAAUGGGAUAGCAGCAAGACACGUAUAGUGGACAUUUAUUGUGGUGUGUUGUGCACGAGCGGAUACUCCAACGAUUCGCCAACGACGGAGCAAGUGAUGGAGAUCGAGAAUUGUGGCGACGCUAGUGGUCAGCAUCGAUGCGGGACCGUCAACGGGGAAUGAUCUCGUCACGCGGGUCCGAAGUGCAGGAGCGAUGGUGCCCCGCCUUGAUCCCAUUGCAAGUUCGCCGUCCCACGUGCCCGUUAGUAUAGCCCGGCUAUAAAAGCUCACUUAGCAUUAGCUUGCACUGCAAUGUUCCUCCGUGAUGGCUGGUGGAAAGUCGCUGCACCGAAUCGCAGCAUCCUCCGUCGUCACCGAAGCAGACGCGCUACGCGAUGGUCAACCAGCGGCACGGCACUAAUGAGAACAGAAGAGAAUUCGAUGAGAUCGAAGGGCGGAGAAGCAGCGAUGGUUCCGCGCAGCUUCCGGUCCAGAAUUUUUCGAUAAAAAGACUUCCGCAACCGUUCGACGCUUGAAACAUUUAUAAUUUAGGCAUUCGAAAUGAAGUGCGUUGCUCGCGGAUCUGAAUCCGAAACUGUUAUGACUGUCGAGGGAUCUAUCGGCCUUGCGCGGUCUGCAACAACUCUCUACACAGUUCGGCCCAUUAACGAUCUUUCACACACGCCCUAUUCGCCUCAUUAUUAUCGGCCACACCUCACGCCAUUUUCGCAUAGUCGUUAACGCGCAGAGAGAGAGAGAGAGAGAGAGAGAGAGAGAGGUGGAUAAAGAAAGAGAAAAUGAAUAUAUCAAGAGAAAACAAUCUGGCUUUCUUGCUUUAUGUUCUCUCUAGAUCGAUCUCUGCAGGAAUGCCACCGGCUAUCCGGUAGCUGACGGCGAUCGGUCUCGGUCGUAACUCUGACCCGCGACAAGACUCGUGAUUUAUGGCGGCAACAAAAGACGAAUUCACACGUGAGACCUGUCGUUUUCAAACCCUUAUAAGCGUGUCUCGUAGAAAGCAUGAAUACAAUGAUGUUUUAUAAGGAUUGCUAGACGUAUAAUCGAUACGUAUGACGGUCCCCAUUCAACUAUGCGCAAAUUACACGAGCUAGUUUACUUACCUUCCUUGAUAGCUUCCAACUCGGUAUAUUAUAAUUUUGGCUGUUUGACAGUAUCGUAAUUACAACAAUAGUUGUAAAUCUAAAUAUGUUUAUAUUUAGUAUUCGAUAAAAUUCGAUAUAUUCAAGGAUUUUUUAAAGAAAUUGAUUUUGCAAAAUUUAGAGGCCUCCCUUUGAAACAAAUAUAUCACAAGAGCACAAUAUAUUUGAAAAAAUAUUUGAUUCCUUUUCAUGAAAAUUUAAAGAAAUUUAAACUUUGCUUAUCGAAUGUAAAAUGUAUUAUAUAAUAUUUAAUUUGUUAUAAAAAGCAAAGUACUACUAUAAAGAGCUAUGUACGAUGAGAAGAAAAUUAGUAAUUUUUCCGAAACUUAUCUACCUCAUUAAUUUAGUUCAAAUUUAUUACAAUUAAAUAUCUAUUUUAUAUCUGGUUUAAGCAAAAUAAUUUAGUUAUAUUUUCUUUUAGCUAAUUAAUAGAUUAAACAUAGAUUUUAUAUAGAAUGUAAUCAAUGCUUUUAAGUUGUAAUGUACUUAAAAAAAUAAACACGUAAAAUUAAUAAAAGAAUAUCCGAUUAAUUAUAAAAUAAAAUGUAAACUUUUUUAAAUCAAUAAAAUAAUUCAGAACAAGUA
Molecule: long non-coding RNA, 2449 nt
Organism: Monomorium pharaonis (pharaoh ant)
Lineage: Eukaryota; Metazoa; Arthropoda; Insecta; Hymenoptera; Formicidae
Exons: 3
Source: RefSeq, a predicted model, not a curated record